Molecule: ribosomal RNA, 577 nt
Filed under: uncultured bacterium
Lineage: Bacteria
Description: partial 16S ribosomal RNA
Rfam family: Bacterial small subunit ribosomal RNA
Source: RNAcentral
UGGGGAAUUUUGGACAAUGGGCGAAAGCCUGAUCCAGCAAUGCCGCGUGUGUGAAGAAGGCCUUCGGGUUGUAAAGCACUUUUGUCCGGAAAGAAAUCCUUGGCUCUAAUACAGUCGGGGGAUGACGGUACCGGAAGAAUAAGCACCGGCUAACUACGUGCCAGCAGCCGCGGUAAUACGUAGGGUGCAAGCGUUAAUCGGAAUUACUGGGCGUAAAGCGUGCGCAGGCGGUUUGCUAAGACCGAUGUGAAAUCCCCGGGCUAACCUGGGAACUGCAUUGGUGACUGGCAGGCUAGAGUAUGGCAGAGGGGGGUAGAAUUCCACGUGUAGCAGUGAAAUGCGUAGAGAUGUGGAGGAAUACGAUGGCGAAGGCAGCCCCCUGGGCCAAUACUGACGCUCAUGCACGAAAGCGUGGGGAGCAAACAGGAUUAGAUACCCUGGUAGUCCACGCCCUAAACGAUGUCAACUAGUUGUUGGGGAUUCAUUUCCUUAGUAACGUAGCUAACGCGUGAAGUUGACCGCCUGGGGAGUACGGUCGCAAGAUUAAAACUCAAAUGAAUUGACGGGGUCAUAGCUG